This 318-nucleotide ribosomal RNA is filed under the name uncultured Lactobacillus sp. RNAcentral describes it as "bacterial SSU rRNA". It matches the Rfam family "Bacterial small subunit ribosomal RNA", at positions 378 to 688 of the family's 1533-position model. Lineage: Bacteria; Bacillati; Bacillota; Bacilli; Lactobacillales; Lactobacillaceae. The record is from RNAcentral.
CAAGUCUGAUGGAGCACGCCGCGUGAGUUGAAGAAGGCUUUCGGGUCGUAAAACUCUGUUGUUGGAGAAGAAUGGUCGGCAGAGUAACUGUUGCCGGCGUGACGGUAUCCAACCAGAAAGCCACGGCUAACUACGUGCCAGCAGCCGCGGUAAUACGUAGGUGGCAAGCGUUAUCCGGAUUUAUUGGGCGUAAAGCGAGCGCAGGCGGUUUUUUAAGUCUGAUGUGAAAGCCCUCGGCUUAACCGAGGAAGCGCAUCGGAAACUGGGAAACUUGAGUGCAGAAGAGGACAGUGGAACUCCAUGUGUAGCGGUGAAAUC